UCGGGAGGAUUCGGUGCUGAAGGGAAGCCGAAGAGUGAACUACCUGGAAAGUAUAGUCGCAAGAUCGAAACUUAAAGGAAUUGGCGGGGAGACAUACAACGAGUGACGCGUGCGGUUUAAUCAGAUUUUACACCGUGAACCUUACUAGGAGCGACAGCAGGAUGAAGGUCAGUCUAAAGGGCUUACCUGACACGCUGAGCGGAGAUACAAAGCCGACGUCAGCCUGUGCUGUGAAGUGACCUGUUAAAUCAGGUAACAGGCGAGACCCGUGUCAUUAAUUACUACAGAAAUGGGUACAUUAAUGAGAUUGCCUUGGUAACAAGGAUGAAAGUGCGGGCUACGUUAGGUGGCUUGUCCCUAAUCCCCUAGGCUACACGCGCGCGGCAAUGGUAUGUUCAAAUGGAUGCGACCUCGAGAGAGGAAGCUAAUCCCCUAACGCAUAUCUCAGUCCAGAUCGAGGAUUGCAACCCAUCCUCGUGACGUUGGAAUUCGUAGUAAUCGGAUAUUAGCACUGUCCGGUGAAUAAGUCCCUGUCUCUUGCACACACCGCCCGUCAAACCAACCGAGUUGUGUAGGGGUGAAGCCCUUUUUGGGAAAAACCUUUUCACGACAAGGUAGGUUAAGUCGUAACAAGGUAGCC
Molecule: ribosomal RNA, 640 nt
Filed under: uncultured archaeon
Lineage: Archaea
Description: bacterial SSU rRNA
Rfam family: Archaeal small subunit ribosomal RNA
Source: RNAcentral